CCGUGUGUAUUUGUGCGAGGCGU
This 23-nucleotide microRNA is filed under the name Drosophila melanogaster (fruit fly). RNAcentral describes it as "dme-miR-2493-3p". The record is from miRBase by way of RNAcentral. Lineage: Eukaryota; Metazoa; Arthropoda; Insecta; Diptera; Drosophilidae.